AACGUAGGAGACAAACGUUAUCCGGAGUUACUGGGCGUAAAGGGCGUGUAGGUGGUUUCGUAAGUCUGGCGUGAAAUUUUUCGGCUUAACCGGGAAAGGUCGUCGGAUACUGCGGAACUAGAGGACGGUAGAGGCGUGUGGAAUUCCGGGUGUAGUGGUGAAAUGCGUAGAGAUCCGGAGGAACACCAGUGGCGAAGGCGACACGCUGGGCCGUACCUGACACUGAUGCGCGAAAGCAUGGGGAGCAAACAGG
This 253-nucleotide ribosomal RNA is filed under the name uncultured bacterium. RNAcentral's name for it is "partial 16S ribosomal RNA". It matches the Rfam family "Bacterial small subunit ribosomal RNA", at positions 524 to 776 of the family's 1533-position model. The record is from RNAcentral.